Melanaphis sacchari is the source of this 406-nucleotide long non-coding RNA. RefSeq lists it as uncharacterized. The transcript has 3 exons. NCBI's taxonomy places the organism in Eukaryota, Metazoa, Arthropoda, Insecta, Hemiptera, Aphididae. The record is from RefSeq and is a predicted model, not a curated record.
ACUUUUGACAGUAUUCAUUUUGGUUUAUUCAGUGUCAGUUGUUAUAAAAUUGUUUGAACACUUUGUUUUUUUUUUUUUUUGCUAUAUUUGAUGUUUAAAUCAGUAGAAGCAUCAAACGCAUACCAAAGUAUAAUGUGUAUACAAUUUUUUCAAGAAACCUGGAUUCGUAGUGUUAAGAUUAAUAUUGAAACGAGACGAGUUAUGACCAAACUUAAAGGUUAUGGUUAACAACAAAAAAUGGAUAAUAUUGAAGGCGAAUAUUCCUAAUAUUUUGUGAGCUGGAUGUGAUUUGUAUGAACUUCAUAUUCUGUGUGACUAUUCGUGUUGAAUGAAGGGAAUCGAAGUGUUCAGUGACCUUCACAGCCAAUAAUUCGAACGUCAAAAAUCAAGAAAAAAAUAUCUCUGU